This 239-nucleotide unclassified non-coding RNA is filed under the name Hevea brasiliensis (rubber tree). Lineage: Eukaryota; Viridiplantae; Streptophyta; Magnoliopsida; Malpighiales; Euphorbiaceae. The record is from RNAcentral.
GGAAUGGAUCCAGUCAAGGUUGGACCAAUUAAAUUUGCUAGAUGAGACAAGGUUAGCGGCGGCGUGUCACGGGCGGUUAUAUCAAAGAAGAAUGGCCAGGGCAUUUAACAAAGGUGUUCGCUCACGUGAAUUUCAACCAGGGUACCUAAUCCUGAAGAAGGUGCUUCUGAAUCAAAACGAUCCCCGGGAUAAAUGGUCACCAACCUAUGAGGGAUCCUAUGUGGUUAAGAAAGCAUUUU